Molecule: ribosomal RNA, 429 nt
Filed under: Pseudomonadota bacterium
Lineage: Bacteria; Pseudomonadati; Pseudomonadota
Description: Proteobacteria bacterium partial 16S ribosomal RNA
Rfam family: Bacterial small subunit ribosomal RNA
Source: RNAcentral
UGGGGAAUAUUGGACAAUGGGCGAAAGCCUGAUCCAGCCAUGCCGCGUGUGUGAAGAAGGUCUUCGGAUUGUAAAGCACUUUAAGCUGGGAGGAAGGGCAGUAAGCGAAUACCUUGCUGUUUUGACGUUACCGACAGAAUAAGCACCGGCUAACUCUGUGCCAGCAGCCGCGGUAAUACAGAGGGUGCAAGCGUUAAUCGGAAUUACUGGGCGUAAAGCGCGCGUAGGUGGUUCGUUAAGUUGAAUGUGAAAGCCCCGGGCUCAACCUGGGAACUGCAUCCAAAACUGGCGAGCUAGAGUAGGGCAGAGGGUGGUGGAAUUUCCUGUGUAGCGGUGAAAUGCGUAGAUAUAGGAAGGAACACCAGUGGCGAAGGCGACCACCUGGGCUCAUACUGACACUGAGGUGCGAAAGCGUGGGGAGCAAACAGG